GUGUCAGCCGCCGCGGUAAUACAGAGGGGGCAAGCGUUAUUCGGAAUUAUUGGGCGUAAAGGGCGCGUAGGCGGCUUCGCAAGUGGCGGGUGAAAUCCCUCGGCUCAACCGAGGAACUGCCCUCCAAACUGCGUGGCUCGAGUCCGGGAGAGGUGAGUGGAAUUCCCAGUGUAGCGGUGAAAUGCGUAGAUAUUGGGAGGAACACCGGUGGCGAAGGCGGCUCACUGGACCGGUACUGACGCUGAGGCGCGAAAGCGUGGGGAGCAAACGGGAUUAGAUACCCUUGUAGUCC
Molecule: ribosomal RNA, 292 nt
Filed under: uncultured bacterium
Lineage: Bacteria
Description: partial 16S ribosomal RNA
Rfam family: Bacterial small subunit ribosomal RNA
Source: RNAcentral